RNAcentral lists this ribosomal RNA (2930 nucleotides) under Proteus mirabilis. Its description in RNAcentral is "23S ribosomal RNA". It matches the Rfam family "Bacterial large subunit ribosomal RNA". The record is from RNAcentral. Lineage: Bacteria; Pseudomonadati; Pseudomonadota; Gammaproteobacteria; Enterobacterales; Morganellaceae.
GGGUUGUGAGGUUAAGCGAAUAAGCGUACACGGUGGAUGCCUAGGCAAUCAGAGGCGAUGAAGGACGUGCUAAUCUGCGAAAAGCGUCGGUAAGGUGAUAUGAACCGCUAUACCCGACGAUAUCCGAAUGGGGAAACCCAGUAUCCAAUGGAUACUAUCAUUAACUGAAUCCAUAGGUUAAUGAGGCGAACCGGGAGAACUGAAACAUCUCAGUACCCCGAGGAAAAGAAAUCAACCGAGAUUCCCCUAGUAGCGGCGAGCGAACGGGGAGCAGCCCAGAGUCUUAAUCAAUAGCAGUGUCAGGAGAACGGUCUGGAAAGUCCGGCAGUAAAGGGUGAUAGCCCCGUAUCUGAAGAUGCUGUUGUUGUGAACUCGACGAGUAGGGCGGGACACGUGUUAUCCUGUCUGAAUAUGGGGGGACCAUCCUCCAAGGCUAAAUACUCCUGAUUGACCGAUAGUGAACCAGUACCGUGAGGGAAAGGCGAAAAGAACCCCGGCGAGGGGAGUGAAAAAGAACCUGAAACCGUGUACGUACAAGCAGUAGGAGCCUCUUUAUGGGGUGACUGCGUACCUUUUGUAUAAUGGGUCAGCGACUUAUAUUCUGUAGCAAGGUUAACCGUAUAGGGGAGCCGUAGGGAAACCGAGUCUUAACUGGGCGAAUGAGUUGCAGGGUAUAGACCCGAAACCCGGUGAUCUAUCCAUGGGCAGGUUGAAGGUUGGGUAACACUAACUGGAGGACCGAACCGACUAAUGUUGAAAAAUUAGCGGAUGACUUGUGGAUGGGGGUGAAAGGCCAAUCAAACCGGGAGAUAGCUGGUUCUCCCCGAAAGCUAUUUAGGUAGCGCCUCGUGAACUCAUCUUCGGGGGUAGAGCACUGUUUCGACUAGGGGGUCAUCCCGACUUACCAACUCGAUGCAAACUGCGAAUACCGAAGAAUGUUAUCACGGGAGACACACGGCGGGUGCUAACGUCCGUCGUGAAGAGGGAAACAACCCAGACCGCCAGCUAAGGUCCCAAAGUCAUGGUUAAGUGGGAAACGAAGUGGGAAGGCUCAGACAGCCAGGAUGUUGGCUUAGAAGCAGCCAUCAUUUAAAGAAAGCGUAAUAGCUCACUGGUCGAGUCGGCCCGCGCGGAAGAUGUAACGGGGCUAAACCAUGCACCGAAGCUGCGGCAGCGACACAAAGUGUUGUUGGGUAGGGGAGCGUUCUGUAAGCCUGCGAAGGUGUACUGUGAGGUAUGCUGGAGGUAUCAGAAGUGCGAAUGCUGACAUAAGUAACGAUAAUGCGGGUGAAAAACCCGCACGCCGGAAGACCAAGGGUUCCUGUCCAACGUUAAUCGGGGCAGGGUGAGUCGACCCCUAAGGCGAGGCUGAAAAGCGUAGUCGAUGGGAAACGGGUUAAUAUUCCCGUACUGGUGGUAACUGCGAUGGGGGAACGGAGAAGGCUAGGUUGUCCGGGCGACGGUCGUCCCGGUUCAAGCAGGUAGGCAGAGUGAUUAGGCAAAUCCGGUCACUUAAUGCUGAGAUGUGAUGACGAACCACCAAGGUGGUGAAGCAAUUGAUGCCCCGCUUCCAGGAAAAGCCUCUAAGCUUCAGGUUACCAACAAUCGUACCCCAAACCGACACAGGUGGUCAGGUAGAGAAUACUCAGGCGCUUGAGAGAACUCGGGUGAAGGAACUAGGCAAAAUGGUGCCGUAACUUCGGGAGAAGGCACGCUGGCGGUAGGUAAAGUCCCUCGCGGACAGAGCUGAAGCCAGUCGAAGAUACCAGCUGGCUGCAACUGUUUAUUAAAAACACAGCACUGUGCAAACACGAAAGUGGACGUAUACGGUGUGACGCCUGCCCGGUGCUGGAAGGUUAAUUGAUGGGGUUAGCGCAAGCGAAGCUCCUGAUCGAAGCCCCAGUAAACGGCGGCCGUAACUAUAACGGUCCUAAGGUAGCGAAAUUCCUUGUCGGGUAAGUUCCGACCUGCACGAAUGGCGUAAUGAUGGCCAGGCUGUCUCCACCCGAGACUCAGUGAAAUUGAACUCGCUGUGAAGAUGCAGUGUACCCGCGGCAAGACGGAAAGACCCCGUGAACCUUUACUAUAGCUUGACACUGAACAUUGAGCCUUGAUGUGUAGGAUAGGUGGGAGGCUUUGAAGUGUGGACGCCAGUCUGCAUGGAGCCAACCUUGAAAUACCACCCUUUAACGUUUGAUGUUCUAACCUAGGCCCAUAAACUGGGUCGGGGACCGUGUCUGGUGGGUAGUUUGACUGGGGCGGUCUCCUCCUAAAGAGUAACGGAGGAGCACGAAGGUUGGCUAAGCAUGGUCGGACAUCAUGCGGUUAGUGCAAAGGCAUAAGCCAGCUUGACUGCGAGAGUGACGGCUCGAGCAGGUACGAAAGUAGGUCUUAGUGAUCCGGUGGUUCUGAAUGGAAGGGCCAUCGCUCAACGGAUAAAAGGUACUCCGGGGAUAACAGGCUGAUACCGCCCAAGAGUUCAUAUCGACGGCGGUGUUUGGCACCUCGAUGUCGGCUCAUCACAUCCUGGGGCUGAAGUAGGUCCCAAGGGUAUGGCUGUUCGCCAUUUAAAGUGGUACGCGAGCUGGGUUUAGAACGUCGUGAGACAGUUCGGUCCCUAUCUGCCGUGGGCGUUGGAAGAUUGAGAGGGGUUGCUCCUAGUACGAGAGGACCGGAGUGAACGCACCACUGGUGUUCGGGUUGUCAUGCCAAUGGCAUUGCCCGGUAGCUAAGUGCGGAAGAGAUAACCGCUGAAAGCAUCUAAGUGGGAAACUUGCCUCGAGAUGAGUCUUCCCUGUCGCUUUAAGCGACCUAAAGGAACGUUUAAGACUAAGACGUUGAUAGGCUGGGUGUGUAAGCGUAGCGAUACGUUGAGCUAACCAGUACUAAUGAACCGUGAGGCUUAACCUGACAACACCGAAAGUGUUUUG